GCAAGUCGAACGAGAAAGGGAUUGCUUGCAAUCCUGAGUAGAGUGGCGCACGGGUGAGUAACACGUAGAUAAUCUACCCUCAAGCCUGGGAUAACUAUUCGAAAGGAUAGCUAAUACCGGAUGAAGUUAAAUUACAUAAGUGAUUUGAUGAAAGAUUGCCUCUUCAUGAAAGCAAUUGGUUGGGGAUGAGUAUGCGGACCAUUAGCUAGUUGGUGAGGUAAAAGCCUACCAAGACUACGAUGGUUAGGUGGUCUGAGAGGAUGAUC
RNAcentral lists this ribosomal RNA (266 nucleotides) under uncultured bacterium. RNAcentral's name for it is "partial 16S ribosomal RNA". It matches the Rfam family "Bacterial small subunit ribosomal RNA", at positions 57 to 305 of the family's 1533-position model. The record is from RNAcentral.